AUUUAUGAAUCUAUUUCUUAGGUUAUGGGCUGCAUUGUCCUGGUCUUGGAGUUUUGUGCUGGGGGAAAUCUAGCUUCAUACAUUCGACGUUGUGGCAGAGUUCAAGAAUGCACCGCUAAAAGAUUCAUGCAGCAGCUCGGAGCUGGUUUGAAGGUUUUGAGAUUACAUAACAUUAUCCACCGCGACCUGAAACCCGAAAAUAUUCUUUUAUCUUCUUGUGAAUGCGACCCAGUUCUAAAAAUUGCUGAUUUUGGACUUUCAAGGAUUUUACGUCCGGAUGAAUAUGCAGAGACUGUUUGUGGUUCACCAAUGUACAUGGCUCCAGAAGUUUUAGAGUUUCAAAGAUAUGACGAAAAGGUCGACAUGUGGAGCAUUGGUGCAAUUCUUUUUGAACUUCUCAAUGGCUGCCCUCCUUUUCAUGGUCGGAGUAGUGUCCAGCUUCUACAGAAUAUCAAGGCCUCUACAUCCCCUCCUUUUUCUCAACUAGUUCUUCCACAGUUGCACCCCGACUCUAUUGAUUUAUGUACAAGAUUAUUGUCGACAAAUCCAGAUAAUCGUUUGUCCUUUGAUGAGUUUUAUCAGCACAACUUCUUACAAAUUGGGAAAUGAAGCGUAACCUCCGAAGAUAGAAGUUAACAAUACAGAAUCUUAUCAGUACAAGGACAGCCUCUAACAAACAUAGCAGGAAGGUCAUCUUAUUGGGCAGCUAUGGAGUUGAAGUUAUAUGCUAGCCCUCUAUAAUUAGUACUUGUUUGGAAGAGAUUGAAUGAUAAUUUAGUGCUUGUUUGGUAAGAAUUUUGAUAAUUGAUUUUUGGACUGUUAGAGAUAAAGUUGGUUCUAUCUGUGAGAGAAGAAUUCAAAAAUAAUGGCUGAAAUAGUGAAAUAACAGUCAAAAAAUUGAUUUUUAA
This is an RNA transcript of Olea europaea var. sylvestris, 908 nucleotides long. It is a transcript of the gene named serine/threonine-protein kinase ATG1t-like, with no coding region annotated. The record is from RefSeq and is a predicted model, not a curated record. NCBI's taxonomy places the organism in Eukaryota, Viridiplantae, Streptophyta, Magnoliopsida, Lamiales, Oleaceae. The transcript is spliced from 8 exons.